This is a small nucleolar RNA of Salvelinus sp. IW2-2015, 130 nucleotides long. RefSeq annotates it as small nucleolar RNA SNORA69. Lineage: Eukaryota; Metazoa; Chordata; Actinopteri; Salmoniformes; Salmonidae. The record is from RefSeq and is a predicted model, not a curated record. The transcript has a single exon.
AAAGCAGGUCUGCAAUUACAGUACUCCAAUCAGUGGGUGUGCUGUCAUUAAUCCUGCURAGAGUAACAUUCUGCUUUGGAGUUCACACUCACAUCACCUGUGAUUGGGAUUCUCUUUAGUAUUGACAGUG